This 76-nucleotide transfer RNA is filed under the name Camelus ferus (Wild Bactrian camel). It matches the Rfam family "tRNA". Rfam says of the family: Transfer RNA (tRNA) molecules are approximately 80 nucleotides in length. Their secondary structure includes four short double-helical elements and three loops (D, anti-codon, and T loops). The record is from Rfam by way of RNAcentral. Lineage: Eukaryota; Metazoa; Chordata; Mammalia; Artiodactyla; Camelidae.
AGGGGUGUAGCUCAGUGGUAGAGCACAUGCUUAUUUAGCAUGCCCAAGGCCCUGGGUUCAAUUCCCAGUACCCUAU